Molecule: ribosomal RNA, 468 nt
Filed under: uncultured bacterium
Lineage: Bacteria
Description: partial 16S ribosomal RNA
Rfam family: Bacterial small subunit ribosomal RNA
Source: RNAcentral
GACGAACGCUGGCGGCGUGCUUAACACAUGCAAGUCGAACGGAAAGGCCCUGCUUUUGUGGGGUGCUCGAGUGGCGAACGGGUGAGUAACACGUGAGUAACCUGCCCUUGACUUUGGGAUAACUUCAGGAAACUGGGGCUAAUACCGGAUAGGAGCUCCUGCUGCAUGGUGGGGGUUGGAAAGUUUCGGCGGUUGGGGAUGGACUCGCGGCUUAUCAGCUUGUUGGUGGGGUAGUGGCUUACCAAGGCUUUGACGGGUAGCCGGCCUGAGAGGGUGACCGGGCACAUUGGGACUGGGAUACGGGCCAGACUCCUACGGGAGGCAGCAGUGGGGAAUAUUGCACAAUGGGCGGAAGCCUGAUGCAGCAACGCCGCGUGCGGGAUGACGGCCUUCGGGUUGUAAACCGCUUUCGCCUGUGACGAAGCGUGAGUGACGGUAAUGGGUAAAGAAGCACCGGCUAACUACGUG